RNAcentral lists this ribosomal RNA (408 nucleotides) under Morganella sp. AZTITEMP112. RNAcentral describes it as "bacterial SSU rRNA". It matches the Rfam family "Bacterial small subunit ribosomal RNA", at positions 930 to 1336 of the family's 1533-position model. Lineage: Bacteria; Pseudomonadati; Pseudomonadota; Gammaproteobacteria; Enterobacterales; Morganellaceae. The record is from RNAcentral.
UGGUGGAGCCNUGUGGUUUAAUUCGAUGCAACGCGAAGAACCUUACCUACUCUUGACAUCCAGAGAACUUAGCAGAGAUGCUUUGGUGCCUUCGGGAACUCUGAGACAGGUGCUGCAUGGCUGUCGUCAGCUCGUGUUGUGAAAUGUUGGGUUAAGUCCCGCAACGAGCGCAACCCUUAUCCUUUGUUGCCAGCACGUAAUGGUGGGAACUCAAAGGAGACUGCCGGUGAUAAACCGGAGGAAGGUGGGGAUGACGUCAAGUCAUCAUGGCCCUUACGAGUAGGGCUACACACGUGCUACAAUGGCGUAUACAAAGGGAAGCGACCUCGCGAGAGCAAGCGGAACUCACAAAGUACGUCGUAGUCCGGAUNGGAGUCUGCAACUCGACUCCANGAAGUNGGANNCGCU